Molecule: long non-coding RNA, 389 nt
Filed under: Salvia miltiorrhiza (redroot sage)
Lineage: Eukaryota; Viridiplantae; Streptophyta; Magnoliopsida; Lamiales; Lamiaceae
Description: long non-coding RNA (SMIL_LNC012891)
Source: RNAcentral
ACAAUCCUCCUCUAUUAACUUCAACUCCAGCCAACAGACUCCCCUUUCACUCACAGCAGCGUCGACUUCCCUGCUGCCAUACUUGAACAAGUUUCAGUUCAUUUGAGACUUCAUUAACAGGAGAGAAAGAGCUGCCCAACUCCCGCCAAAUCCUCAAGGUAAGCUUCGGCUUGAACGUUUCCACCUCCUGCCAUAACCUCCACCUGCAUUUUAAAGCAAUAACACCUUCAUUGUAUUUCAGUUAUUCCCCAUCUCAAUCAUCAAUACCACAACAGCCAACCAACAAGCUAGAUACUCAAGGUAUUUAUGCGACCUCAGUUAUUCAAUCCAGUUUGCAUUCAUACCAUCAAACAUGAUCAGAUUCAAAUGAUAGAAGACCUAUAUAAGCA